Molecule: ribosomal RNA, 489 nt
Filed under: uncultured bacterium
Lineage: Bacteria
Description: partial 16S ribosomal RNA
Rfam family: Bacterial small subunit ribosomal RNA
Source: RNAcentral
AUUGAACGCUGGCGGCAGGCCUAACACAUGCAAGUCGAACGGUAACAGGAAGAAGCUUGCUUCUUUGCUGACGAGUGGCGGACGGGUGAGUAAUGUCUGGGAAACUGCCUGAUGGAGGGGGAUAACUACUGGAAACGGUAGCUAAUACCGCAUAACGUCGCAAGACCAAAGAGGGGGACCUUCGGGCCUCUUGCCAUCGGAUGUUCCCAGAUGGGAUUAGCUAGUAGGUGGGGUAACGGCUCACCUAGGCGACGAUCCCUAGCUGGUCUGAGAGGAUGACCAGCCACACUGGAACUGAGACACGGUCCAGACUCCUACGGGAGGCAGCAGUGGGGAAUAUUGCACAAUGGGCGCAAGCCUGAUGCAGCCAUGCCGCGUGUAUGAAGAAGGCCUUCGGGUUGUAAAGUACUUUCAGCGGGGAGGAAGGGAGUAAAGUUAAUACCUUUGCUCAUUGACGUUACCCGCAGAAGAAGCACCGGCUAACUCCGU